Molecule: ribosomal RNA, 229 nt
Filed under: uncultured bacterium
Lineage: Bacteria
Description: partial 16S ribosomal RNA
Rfam family: Bacterial small subunit ribosomal RNA
Source: RNAcentral
UGCGUAGGCGGGCUAAUAAGUCAGUGGUGAAAUCUCUCGGCUCAACCGGGAAACUGCCAUUGACACUGUUAGUCUUGAGUUCGGUUGAGGUAGGCGGAAUGUGUAAUGUAGCGGUGAAAUGCUUAGAUAUUACACAGAACACCAAUUGCGUAGGCAGCUUACUAGACCGACACUGACGCUGAGGCACGAAGGCGUGGGGAGCGAACAGGAUUAGAUACCCUGGUAGUCC